UAAAUGUGAACAAACCCUCACGAUUCAAACAAAAUGGGCUACAUCCUACAGCUUGUCCCAACAAGGAUAUAGAAAAGAAUCCUACGUACAUCCCAUACUUGAAACAACAUGAACAAAGACAAACAUCCUGUUUCAUAUACUGAUACUUAACAAAUCAAGCAAAGUUCCCAAAUACCAUGCUGAUUUCGACAGACUUAAACAAAUAUGGAAAUUACUUAAUCCGACUCAAACCUAUGCUGCAAUAGAUCCAAUAGUCUUAAAUGUCCAAAAAAAAACACUUCAAUAACUUUACAAACCAAACCUACUGAAUUUAAACAACUAUCCAAACUUACAAACCAGAUUUAAUCUAAUAACAUAAAUGAACAAGUAAAUAUAUGAAAAGGAACUAAACUACUACAGAAUUAAGUGAGUUUAAGAACACAAGAAUGGCAUUUGAUGAACAUAUAUGCCAUAAAUUUCCAACUUAAUCAACAGAUGCAAAUCCUUUCAUUUCAACAUGUCAAAUGAGGUUUAUUAAGUACCUGGUUACAACAACAAAACAACAAUAAAAUGAGCUUGAAAUUAAGAAGAGGAUAGCAGCACUGUAUCAGCAACAAGCAGCACAACCCACAAUCAGUUUUACACCAUUUUUGAACCCAGAUUAACACAAUUUUUUCGAGUUUCAAUAGAAUCUGACUAACAGAGGAAGUCAAAGAGCCAAACCAAGCAAAUUUUGAUAUUUUCAGAAUCGCAAAAAUGCUCAGCCAUUUCUAAGUUUUUCAGCUUUUAAAUCUCUAAAGUCUUCCUUGGCUAUGAAGGAAACAAUGCAUUUUAUAGAAAGCCUCUAGGGCAGCAGAAAUGCUUUCAAUUUUUAGCCAUUACCCCUUCUCCAAUUUUUAUUUUUUUUCACUUUAACCCUGAUUUUCUAGCCUGUUUAUCAAAACAAUCCUUUUUUCCACUUUCCUGGAAGUUUCCUAGUUGGUUAAACAAGAUUCUCCUUGUUAAAUUCCCUAAACUACCUUUUAGACUCUGCUAUUUACCUUCAGAAGAUCACAUGGGUCAAAUUUGACCCAAGACUUAAACAGGCUUCUUAAAACAGGUCAGAGAUGGCCUCAAAGCCCAAUCAAACAAACUGACCCAAAUCAAAGAAUCAACUUCAGUAGUUUAGAAAGAAAGAAAAAGGAAACAAAUAUAGGAUUACAUGAUAUCAACAUCAAAACAUGACUGAACAAACAACUUAUGAGACUAAACUAAAUAAACUAGAAUUAAAUCAGAUUAACAAAUCGAACCAAACCUAAUUAACCUAAUCAGAAGAUUAGAACAAGAAGGACUCUCAGAUGAACACACUUAACUAAUGGACUAAACAAAAUCAAAACCUUCUGACUUGAACAACACAUAACAAAAAAUAAAUGAAAGAGUGGCAAGAAACAGAAUCAGGAAUCAAGUAAAACAAGGUUUAAAGAGGGACUGACGAGAUAAAGAAAAACGAGCAUGCAAUCAAAAUGGGAAGCAAGUGUUGUUUUACCAGAAGCCACGAAUGAGUCUAUAACAACAUCACUUGAUAACUUCAUCGGCGUCUUUCGAUUUGAGAUGAAAUUGGUAUCAUUUGCACGUUCUGUUGAGAACAAACGAACAACACAAAUUUCAACUCUAAUCGCUCUUGGAAACAUGACGAUUUGGGAGAUUUGGGGAUUUAAAGUUUGGGGUGUCGACCUCAGAUCUGAAAUUCGAGGCGAUGGGGAGGGAUUUGAGGGGAAUUAUUUUGGGGUUUAGGAAGAGGAGGGGUUGGGGUUAUGGGGUGCGAUUUUGGAGGAAGUUUGGGGUGGCGCCACCACCGGAGAGGGUGAGGAGUGUUAGGGCGGCGUUUAGGGUUCUUGAAUCUCUGAAGGGAGAUGAUGAGUGAAAGGGAAUGAAACGGGGGGUGGUCUAGGUUAGGAC
RNAcentral lists this long non-coding RNA (1917 nucleotides) under Nicotiana tabacum (common tobacco). RNAcentral describes it as "long non-coding RNA (NTAB_LNC009974)". The record is from RNAcentral. Lineage: Eukaryota; Viridiplantae; Streptophyta; Magnoliopsida; Solanales; Solanaceae.